Molecule: long non-coding RNA, 2644 nt
Organism: Chanos chanos (milkfish)
Lineage: Eukaryota; Metazoa; Chordata; Actinopteri; Gonorynchiformes; Chanidae
Exons: 7
Source: RefSeq, a predicted model, not a curated record
UUGUGAACCAAAGAGAGAGAUUUUUCUUUGUUGCUUUCAGGCAUUUUUGGAAGCCCAAACAGAUAUCAGAUCUGCCCAGCUUUCUUUUCCGUUCAUGGUUUUCCUUUCCGUUAAGACUUUCCAUGACCACAAAUGCUCUGUAACCGCUCACCGUAUGGAUCAGGACAUGGAUGGCAUCCUCUUCAAGGCAGUGCAGGACAUCAAAGUGGAUACGGGUCUGAAGCUUGACUAUGGCGUCAACAGGAAGACCUUCCAAGGAAUGGGCCUGGGCCUGGACCCGGGCUGGCCGCAUGAUCAUGACCACUGGUCCGUCCCGUGUGCAUGGGGUAAAAUGUUAUCCGGAGGCCUACGAUCCUACAGAUCCUAACGCAGUGUGGUUAUGUCGUCAGGCUGAUGUGCCCAGCCAGGAGGAGGAGGCAGUAUUUCUCUGACCUACUCCAAGAGGAAAUACUGGAGUGGGCAGAGACGCAGGCGGAGCUCCACCUCCACCAGCCAGAGCGUGUUCGGCCGUGAGGAGAGUUAGCGCACGCUGUCUCCCCGGGGGGCCCAGCUCCGGUUCGGCCAGGAAGGGCCAGAGGGCGAAGGUGGCUGUCGGUCCCUCGGAGAACUCCACUCUCUCAAAGCACCGAUGGAAGGCGUGUCGCUGGGGCCCGAGACAGAGCCCGGCUCCCGCUGGGCCCGCUCCCCCUGCGAAGCAGAGCGCCGUCACCAGCUGCGGCACGCUUUACGGCUUUGUCCCGCGUCACCGCCAAGGUGGUGGAGUUCCACAACUUUUAAUCUACAAAAAUACACUCAGGGGGUGCUGUGUAUUUGAACUACUAUGAACUGCAUAUUAUAAAGUGCUAUUUUAAAUGAUUUCAAUCACGUCCUUAAAUAUAUACGCAAGAAUACAAGAAAUAGUUAGGGGACAUACAGAUAUAUAUGGUUUCUUUUCACAGAAAAAAUAAUGAGAAAUUAAUGACAAAUAUUUAUUACUUUGUCUCAUAUUCAUUUCAGUAGCUUCAUUGUUCACAAAAGCUUUCCUUGUCUUUUUUGUGUAGGUCCAGGAGGAGGAGGCGGUAUUUCUGUAUAUAGUUCACCCUGUGUCUUAUUCUUUGGACAUCACAAGGCUUUUUUUCCCCGUUUGUUAUUGAAUUAGGGAAUGUGUGACAGAGAGCUCUGUCUAAGGCCUCGAGUGGUAUCCUUUUCCCCACCUUACCCCAUAGUUCCACAGCAUUCAUUCAUUCAUUCAUUCAUUCAUUCGUGUUUGUGACCCGUUGCCGGUACAUCUUUACAUACAUAUCACUAACGCACAUUUCACUAAAAUAUCGCGCUAGCUUCGAGGGUACACACUCGAAGCAAGCAGCAGAUUACCCGGUUUCAUGCACACAAACAUUUCCAAUUCACGUUAUCGCUUCGGCUGUCGUUGUCUUUACAGUUACCGUCUUUAUCAUGUUUGUUCCCGUCUGUAUUGUACUCAGCGCUUGGUUUAAAUGUCUUUUUGUGUUUGUGUUCAUUGUCUUGUCUCCCUCCAUGGUUUCCUCUCUCCAUGUGUUUGUUAGUCUGUGCCAUAGCAGGGUACAACUACCGGUGCAGGGGAGGACCAAACCGAGCUGGAGCAACACGGACUAGUUUAUUAUUACUAGUUGUUUAUCAUUCAUUUACUGUAUAUAGUUACAUUUUUUCUUCGUGUUUUUGUAAUUCCUUGUUGUUCAUUGUUCUAUUGAAAGGAAAGGACACCAUGGAAAGAGCUCCUCUUUUUAUGCCCCCCUCCCCUCCCUGUGAACUGUUCCUCACAAGGCUUUAUAUCCUUCAGACAUGACCCACUCCGUGCAGAGCAAGAUUAAAGAGGUGGGCCUGUGUGAGAAGUUUCAUGAUGAUGCCAAGCUCCUUGUGGACUUUAAAAAGUACACAGGGCACAGAGACCUGAGAUUAACUGACCAGCCUACAGCGCACAGACAUGAGUGCUCCCCCUGUUCUUAACUGCAAAAAGAAUGUCAUCAGGUUCUUAGAUUGCCUGAAGACAAGGCUGAAUCUAGAACAGACAGACUCACAGCUCCGUUCCAAGUCCAGUCAUUCAAGGAGAUGCUGCUGACCCUGCGGAAGCCGGUUCCAAAGGCCUGUUCACAGGCGGUGUGUAAAACCAGAUGCUGAAGGACCUAAAAAGUUGACAAACUCAAUAUAGACAUCAGUGAAACUUUAUCAAGGCUGCUGCAGAUUGGACCAAAGAGGAACUACUGCAUCACCCGCCAAGAGCUGCUUGCCGUCAUCCUGGGGCUCCGCCACUUCCAGCCCUACGGGGCUCCACAGCACCAGCCAAGGAAACAAAGUCGAGUACGAAACAUUUCUUCAAAGUUGGCACUCGCAUCUCAUUGCAGUUGCCCUACUCCAAGAGAAAAUACUGGAGUGGGUAGAUGCAGGCAGAACUCAGAUGUGAACUCAGCGGCGAGCUCAGCCAGAGGCCAAAAAACUUAAGGGAGAUGUUGGUGCAUUGGGGGAUACCACUCUCUUGGAGCACCAAAGGAAGUCGAGUCACUGGCUCCGGUUCGGCGCCCCCUCAGCUGUUUCACAGAUGUCUAUACUGAGAUCAUCAAGGCAGCUGCAAAUGGGACCGGAGAGGAACUACUGCAUCACCUGUCAAGAGCAAUGGAAACUUUGACUCUAU